Long non-coding RNA from Enhydra lutris kenyoni (northern sea otter), 2359 nucleotides. RefSeq lists it as uncharacterized. The record is from RefSeq and is a predicted model, not a curated record. NCBI's taxonomy places the organism in Eukaryota, Metazoa, Chordata, Mammalia, Carnivora, Mustelidae. The transcript has 3 exons.
UUAACCAACUGAGCCAUCCAGGCAUCCUGAAAAGUACUUUAAAUUGAGAAAAGUUACAAUAGAUUUAUAUUAUUUCAAGGCUUUUUAUUUCUUCUUCAAAACAGGAAACAGAUCACUAUAGAGAAUAGUUUGUAGAAUUGAGGAGGAGAUUCUCCAGUGAAGAGAGUUCACUAUUUAUAAAAUGUAGGCAGAGACAGCAGAAGAGGAAGAAAAGAGAUUAAAGAGAAGAGGGAUAAAGGUAAAGAAAGAUCUGUAGGACAUGAGGGAAUGUGGGAUCAAGGGAGCAGUAAAGAAAUUGACCUGGAAAAAGAGAUAGGAUACUCCUCCCUGAGUUGAGAAGAAAGUAAGUAAAGAUAGUUACAUGUAUAACUUGUAAAUGUGGAACAAGAAGGUUAGGAGGUUCACAGCUUACAGUUUUGACUUUUUUUUUUUUUUCUAAUAAAGAAGAUGUUAAAGAAAAGGGCAUAGGUGAAGUAGCACGUUUGAAUUGUAGUAAAGUGGCAUAAAAAUAUAUGCUCUAAGGAAUGGGAGAGGGAAUUAGCCAGGGGGCAAAGUUAUUAUCAAGAGAGACUAAUGUACCUGGGAAACUAAGCUAGACAGGAAAAGAUAUGAAGCCAUGCUGAAGAUCGUGGUUUGAAAAAAAGAAAAGGGAAUAGUUUAGGAAUAGAGGGUAAAAUAAGAAAGCAGGUGUUAAGGGAAUAAGGGAGUGAAAAACUUGGAACAAUAAGUGAUUGUGGUCUGAGAUCAAUUGUAUUGAAGUCUAAGGCUGUGGAACAAUUUCCUAGUGAUCAAAGGUUGAGAAUAUGGGUCUGGGUAUGGAUCACUGAAUGAAGUGAUUGUAAGCUGGUGGAGUCCCAGAGUUCAAGGUUGUUGGAUGGGUUGUCCAUGUGGACACUGAAGUGGCACAUGAUGGCAGGAAAUGCAGAUACUGGAAGUCGGGUGCCAAAGUCCUCUAUAAAUAAGGGAGGGAAUGACUGGGCAAUUAAGUAAUGAGAAUGAAAAAGAGGAAUAAUAAAUUCCAAGAUUGCUGAAUAUGCCCUUUUUGCCCUCACAAAUCAAGUGUCACGAGGACAAGGACUUGCCUUAUUUAAUACUGCAAAUAAUUGUUGAUUAAUGGAUAGACAAAUGAUGACCUCUUCAUUUUGAAUAAGUAUUCAUAUUGAAUUAGUAUUUUUGGAAACUUUGGGUGUUUGUUGUUAUAUGCAGUUGCUACUAAAGAAUAAACAACAGGAUGAACAAGAUGUAGAAAAAAAUUAAUAAUCCAAACCCAGAAAUAACCACUGUUAACCCCCUUUAUUACAUUUUCAUACCUGUUUGUUGUUCAUCCUAGUAAUAAAUAUUCAGCUAUAAUAUCCUUUAAUGGCUGAGUAGGUAUUCCAAAUAGAAUAAGUAUAUACCAUAAUUUAAGCAGUUUCUUAUUGGGGGUACAUUAUAUAUAUAUGUUUUUCUAUUUGUAAACGGGACAAUCUAAUAACUACAUUUUUGCUUUUUUUCCUUAGGAUGCAGACUUACAAGUGGAUUUUCCAGUAGGAUCUUAUAGCCAGCCUAUUUUUCUUGUUUUUGGCUAAUUUCUAACAGGCUUAUUAAUGUGUAUUCCUAUUCUGUCCUGCAUGGGAAUCAGAAAAUUGGACAGUAUUGUAGGUACUUAAUGAUGUAGGCAUGCUGAUAGCCACAAAGUGAGAAUUGACUGCACUACAAAAAAUGUUAAAGAAAGUAAUCCAGACGGAAGGAAAAUGAUAUCAGAUGGAAAUACAGAUCUACAUAAAGGAAUGAUGAACACUGGAAAAGGUAACUGCAGGGUAAUUCCACAAGAAAAGACAGCAUGUUUCUACAGAGAUCUGUACAGGAAUAUUCAUAGUAGCUUUAUAUUUAACAGUCUCCAAUUUGAAACAACUCAAACGUCACCAACAGAUAAAUGGAUAAAUUGUGAUAUAUUCAUAUAAUGGAAUACUACUCAGCAAUAAAAAGGUAAUGAACUAUUAUUCUGUGCACCAGCAUGAUUAAUUUCAAAACAAUAUUGUGAGUGAAGAAAGAAAAUAUAAAAUUCUAGAAAAUGCAAACAGAUCUAUUGGGACAAAGGGCUGACAAACCAUUGGUUGUCUGGAGAGAGAAGUGCCAGGGGAGGAUUAUAAAAUGGCAGGGGAAAUUCUUAGGGUUGAUAGAUAUAUUCACUUCUUAUUCUGGUGAUGGUUUGACAGGUAUAUACAUGUUAACAUUUAUCAAUUGUAUACUCAAUCAAUUCUAUACAUGUUUAAAGUUAUCAAUUAUACACCUUAUAUAUAUGCGGUUUGUUGAAUAUCAGUUAUUUUAGCUUAAUACACUGAAAAAUGUAUCUAGAAAAUAAAGGAGGGGUGCCUGG